Homo sapiens (human) is the source of this 5150-nucleotide long non-coding RNA. RefSeq lists it as uncharacterized. Lineage: Eukaryota; Metazoa; Chordata; Mammalia; Primates; Hominidae. The transcript is spliced from 2 exons. The record is from RefSeq and is a predicted model, not a curated record.
AAAAAAAAAAGUCCUAGGUAAUUAAAAUAUCAUUCCAAAUACAUUUGAAGGUUUAGAAAUACCCUUGAACUUCCCAUUUGGAGUUGAAAUAUCCAGCCCCACUUCCUGCAUUCUUUGUACCUGAGUAGCCUAAUUUGCCUAUUAGGAGAGGAUCUAGGGUGACUCUUUACAGUUUAGCUCUGAGAUCAUCUUUUCAUUGGUUUGUACUUGUACUUGUUUGCUUUGUUCAUAGUUAAACUGCAUUAAAAGUUCAGAUACGAACAAGGAGUUGUUAACAUGUGUGGGUCCACUGGGAAAACACCUAAGGAAUGUUUUGACCCCAGACUAGCUGAGAGAGCAGCUGGGCCACACACUCAGAAUCACACAGCAUGUUGCUGCAAGAUGUCACUUGCAAUCUUGUCUGCAUCCACUUUUAAAUAAAGGUGCAUGGUCUGGAAUGAAAAGCCAACUUAGUAAAUUCAGACCUACUCUUUUGGGAAAAGUUAUGUUGUAGUGUGUGUGAGGUAAGGGUGGAGGGCGCAUCAGCCCCGCCUGCAACCUCGGGUCACUGUGGUACCUGGCUGUGCCAUCACAAAAUCCAGCCUCACUGUCUUUUCUGUGGGAAGGGAGUUUGAACAGGGGCCGCUGAAUUGGGAAACUCUGAAGGAGUCUCUCCCCUCCAGCCAGCCACACUUUGGAACACGGAGUGGAGUUCCAGCCCCAUGGUGGCUCAGGCAAUCGUGACCCUAAAAACAGUCUGCUGGCAUUAAACGCUUCAGUGCUUGAGUCCCAGUCAUGACUACGGGAACUAACACUAACCUGUGUCACACAGGCUGACAGUUUGGAAACACUGGCGACUCUGCGACAGACCCAAAUGGCCCUUUUUACCCAGCCCCAGCUGGGAUGAGAAGUAGAAUUCAGUGUGCCGUAAAAACCAGUGAUGUGCUACAGUCUCUGUGCAAGCCGCAUGAACAAGGUGGCCAUGUGGGCCGACGGCACCUAUUUUUUUGUGAAAAGACACUAAGAGAGUUAAAUGCCCAAAGCCUAACCAUGUCAGUUUCUCCAAGAGCAGAGUGUAGGGGCAGGGGGCUUUCAGGAAAGACGGCCUUCCAGCCCCACCGCACUGUCUGCAAUGAGGGUAACUCUGCCUUUGACUCUGGCAGAUCUGCAGCCUCAUGCGAGGGGGAAUAGCUGAGAGAGGAGGCGUCCGUGUGGGGCACCGGAUCAUUGAAAUCAAUGGACAGAGCGUCGUGGCCACCCCCCACGAGAAGAUCGUCCACAUUCUCUCCAAUGCUGUUGGGGAGAUUCAUAUGAAGACAAUGCCAGCCGCGAUGUACAGGCUGCUGACGGCCCAGGAGCAGCCUGUUUACAUCUGACCGCGGCCACACGCGGUGGCAUGCAUGGAGGACUCUCCUCUUCGUGGUUGUGUUUCUCGUGCUGCAUCCCUGUGUCCACUGAGACUUUCCCCUCUCGCGCCCAGCAUUUGGUUUUACACAGGAAGAGAAGAAUCCACAAGGACCUCUUUACUCUCUCCGAUUUGCUUUUUUUUUUUUUUUUUUUUCAAUACCAGGGAAGUUUCGUAUGCACUCCCUUGAGGAUGGAGAGCAGCCAGCACCCACCUGGUACUGACCCAGGACCAUCCUGGAGGGCUUUCUGGGUGUGUCCAGGGGGUGGGCUGUCACUGCUUGAGGGAGAAUCCUCCCUUCCCAGGAGGUGCAGACUUCUUAAAAGGAGCUCGCGGGGCAGCAAAGCAGCUGAUUCAGCAGUGCCUAAAACCCAGUUGCUGAUCCCUGCUCUCUGAGUUUAUCUGUGGGAAUGUGGUAGUACCCAGGGCCAGCCCACGUCAUUAAGGUUAUGCACUGCCUGCCAUGUAGUUGGGGCACCAUACAUUAUUUCUUCCCAGAAUCUCUGAGCCAACCUUAAACCUCUUCUAUUGCUAGUUCUAAUUUCAACGUAUGUGUGUUUUCUAAUACGAGCCUUCUCACCCCAGGAUAAAAGGGGAAAUAACUGCCUUGGGCAAGGACACCAUAGUGUCACAGAGAGCUUGGCAAUUCAUGGGGCAUCUGAAGCUUUACCAGGUUGUCCUCAAGUUAUCAACCAUUAGAUAAACACAGGCAGGUACUGUCUGCUUCUCUCUCUCUCACACACACACACACACACACAGUCCCAUUUGCAUAUCACCCUUCCCUGCUCCCACCACCAGUGAGACAAGCUGAAGAUUAGGCACACAGAUCCCCUGGAAACCCACCUCUCUGGAAGGCCCCUUCCCUGGCAGGUGGCCAGGCAGGCGGGGGCUGCUCAGCCUCAUCCUGAGAGACCUGCCCUCUCUGCGCUGAGGCCCAGCCCCUCCAGCACCACUUUGGCUUAAAGCAUCCUCCUCCUGGACUCCCCUCCCUGCCGAACACACAUCCCAGGAGUCUGGGAAGGAGGGACUGUUCCCAAGAAGGCAAGCUGCAGGUGCAAUUGCGUCUUGUUUUCUGGCCCAAGGCAAGACCAACUUUCUUCUCUGCUCAGGGCCACUAGGCGGAUGUGAUAUUGGAAAGGCCAGAAUAGUACAUAAACCACAAAAUUAAGGAGACAAUAGCAACCUCAAGUUAUGCCUCAGAAUCCCCAGAUGUGGUCCAUAAACACCCUCUUGCUGCCUUGUGGGCCUGAGAGCAUUUUUGGCUGGUGUGGAAUUGUUCCGUGUUUUCAUCAGGUGCCUCAUAUUUAUGCUUCCGUCUCAGUUCAGUGUAGAUGUUUUAGUAAUAUUAUAAUUCUGAGCCAGUUUUCACUUGGUCCAAAGAGCAUUUUGUGUUCAUGUGAGGUGUGAUUUGGCUUUGCUUUUGUUUUGUUUCAUUCAUGACCUCAGUAGAGACAGGGGAAGAGAAACUAUUAUAUUUUGUAAUUAAUAUAGUCCCUGUUCUCUGCAUCCGAGAUAUUUAUGUUGUGUCUAUGGAAAUAGGAACUCAGUGAGCAAAUGGUGGGUAGCAUGUAUUUAUAGAGAGAAUGGAGGGAUUCUAAGGAGGGAGCAAAGUGACUAUAACAAGAUUAGGGACAAGAGACUUCAACCAGAGAGUUCUGUGAUCAAUUCCCCGAGAUCUCUGCAUCUUCUGAGUUUUCUGCUUAGAAUCAGGGAAGCUCAGUGCUUGACAGGAACGAGCAGUGGCACUCUCAGUUUCACUGUGUUACAAAGGAGCCCUGAGGAAGGGAGGCCGCUGGCUGCCCAGGUGCCCUGGGGGGAAAGGGACUUCUGCUGCUGCAGAGAGUGGCACCCGGUGGGGCCAGGGGCUCUGGGAUGGUCCGUAAAGCUCCCCAGGACUUCUUUGAAGGAUGCUUUACAGAAUGUUUCUGGGAGACCAGCCUCAAGGUCAACCCAUCACAAACGUGAGGACCAGGAAGGAACCAUGGCCAGGGUUCUCCAUUUGCUGUAGAGUAUCUGGUGAUACAGUGAGACACUAAAGAGUCAUCAGCCAGUUCAUCUUUCCUCUGCCAAUAAGAGUGGAUAGAACAGGAAUGAAGUGUUACUGGUGGUAUUUCAGGCAUCAGGAGCCUUGGAAAAUCAUCGUAGGGGCCCAUGCCUGUCUGUCCCUAGGCACCUGGGCAGUGCCACAGAGGCCCGCCCACGACUGGCCAGGGGACAGAACUCCAGUAGUGCAUCCCUGUACAACCUGCACAUAACGGUUAUGUAUGUUCACCUAAAGGAGAGAAUAUACUUUCUAUUCCUAUUGCACAAAAACCUUGUAAACUUUGAGAGGUGCUGAAAAAGCCAAUUCUGCAAGCUCUCCUAGAGGACUGACAUUGUAACAUUAGAGUGAGAAGAUUUCUCUGCCACAUUCUUUUGUGUUAAUCCAGGUGUGUCUUCACACCCAGUGAGUGGAAGUUGCUGGAGCUCGGUACAGGUCCACCCAGCUGAAGUGGGUUCUUUUUCCCACUACCACUGGGGCAAGGGAGUGAGCCUAGGUAUGGUCACCUCAGCAGCCACAGUCUUAAAAGCAAGUCGCUAGAUUUUUUGAAAGUCCCAAGAGAAGUGGUGGUCUUCCCUUCUGUCAUCCCAGUAUAUAUAGUUAUACAUGUAAAUAUCUAAAUACCCCAUGUAAUGGGAAGGCUAUGUACAGGGCAGCCUUCCCAAACGCUGUGAGGGCACAGAGCUGCUGUGGCUGCUCCACCAGGGUGUGCUGGUGGCUCAGCUUUGGGGUUGGACUCCCACGUUCACCUCCCCCUCCUGGUCCAGGCAGAGGCACCAGAACCCAUCCUGCCUUUUCUCCAGUGUGAGCAUUUCAGGGAGCCACCAUCAGCCUUGGGUUCAUGAGAGGAAGAAACCCCCAAAGACCAAUGCCUGGAGCCCACUUCUCCAGCGACACCUUCCCUCGCCAGAGCAGGCUCCUAGGAGUGCAUGGCAGGGGUGCCGGGUCCCUGUGCACGGGUUUGCUUUCUGAACAUUGCCCAUCAACACCGCCUUCAGGGAGUCCCAGAGUAACCUACUACCUCCCCCAUCGCUCCUCUGCCCCCCUCACCCUGUGGGCACCAACACCUCCCGCACACAGAUGAAAACCAUCUACAGAGCCCUUCCCGGGUCCCUCGACCCAGUGGUGUAGCCGUUACCAAUGUUUACAACCAGGGGCCGCCCCUCCUUAGAUGUGUUUACUCGCAUUCACAGGCCACCUGUUGGUUUGAGUUUCAUGUGUCUCCUUCCCUGGCCUAGGUUGACUUGAGCACACAACUCGAUCUUUCUUCCCCUCCAUCAAGGCAGUGUGUGAGGACUGUGUGGGAAUGACAUUUCUUGUACAUACUUAGCACAGCACCUAGAGUAUGAACUUGUACUAUUGUUCUGUAAAGAGGGUGAAAUAGAGCUUAUUGUAAAGUGUCGGGAGAAGUAUAGUAUUGUAUUUGUAACAAUAUCGUUCUUUGUAUACACAAAACUCAAUGAUCUAUAUAUAAAUAUAAAUAAAUAUAUAAAUAAAAUAUAUCUACACGUGAGCCUGGAAUGUGGACACCGCACACCCACUGAAUGUACUUCCUUGACAGUCUGGUCACUGGUCCCUCCCUCCCUCCCUCCUCCGUCCCGUGGCCACAGUCAUCCAGUUUGGGGUUGUGAUGUAUUUACUGUGCUAUCUAUCUUCCUUUAUUUAACUGAACGCUAAUGUCUGUAUAAGAGUUGCUGCAACAAUAAACAAGAACUUCACCUCUUG